GCAAGUCAUUCAAGGUGAUGCACCACUCUUUGAAAACCCUCCUGAUCCCAAUGGCAAAGCCAAUUCAGGCAAGACAGUGAGUCAUGUUAACUUUGACAAACCCUCCCGAUGGCAAAGCCGUUUCAGGCAAGACAGUAAGCAUUGUUAACUUUGACAAACUCUCGCGACAGCAAAGGCAAUCAAGCAAGACAGUAAGCAUUGUUAACUUUGACAAACCCUCCCAAUGGCAAGGCCGUUUCAGGCAAGACAGUAAGCUAUGUUAACUUUGACAAACCCUCCCGAUGGCAAAGCCGUUUCAGGCAAGACAGUAAGCAUUGUUAUCUUUGACAAACCCUCCCGAUGGCAAAGCCGUUUCAGGCAAGACAGUAAGCAUUGUUAACUUUGACAAACUCUCGCGACAGCAAAUGCAAUCAAGCAAGACAGUAAGCGUUGUUAACUUUGACAAACCCUCCCGAUGGCAAGGCCGUUUCAGGCAAAGACAGUAAGCAUUGAUAACUUUGACAAACCCUCCCGAUGGCAAAGCCGUUUCAGGGCAAGACAGUAAGCAUUGUUAUCUUUUGACAAACCCUCCCGAUGGCAAAGCCGUUUCAGGCAAGAACAGUAAGCAUUGUUAACGUUGACAAACUUCUCGCGACAGCAAAGAAAAAAAAAAGCAAGACAGUAAGCGUUGUUAACUUUGACAAAACCCUCCCGAUGGCAAGGCCGUUUUCAGGCAAGACAGUAAGCAUUGAUAACUUUGACAAACCCUCCCGAUGGCAAGGCCAAAUCAGGCAAGACAGCAAGUCAUGUUAAGAGAGGCACAAACGCUAAAUGAGGACAAAAAAAGGAUCCCAUGAGACCCCAUGCCCACAUCGUUUUCCAUAUCCAAGAUACCAAGCAACGCUCAAUGGGCCACAACAUCAACGCAUGCGUAACGCUGUGGAUCAAAGAGACCGCUUCGUGGUUCAUCUGAUGCCACAAAAAUAACACAAGACGAAAUCAACUAUAAUCAACCAUGAC
This 999-nucleotide unclassified non-coding RNA is filed under the name Bidens andicola var. andicola. Its description in RNAcentral is "partial external transcribed spacer". Lineage: Eukaryota; Viridiplantae; Streptophyta; Magnoliopsida; Asterales; Asteraceae. The record is from RNAcentral.